AAUACAUGCAAGUCGAGCGGACCGACGGGAGCUUGCUCCCUUAGGUCAGCGGCGGACGGGUGAGUAACACGUGGGUAACCUGCCUGUAAGACUGGGAUAACUCCGGGAAACCGGGGCUAAUACCGGAUGCUUGAUUGAACCGCAUGGUUCCAAUCAUAAAAGGUGGCUUUCAGCUACCACUUACUGAUGGACCCGCGGCGCAUUAGCUAGUUGGUGAGGUAACGGCUCACCAAGGCGACGAUGCGUAGCCGACCUGAGAGGGUGAUCGGCCACACUGGGACUGAGACACGGCCCAGACUCCUACGGGAGGCAGCAGUAGGGAAUCUUCCGCAAUGGACGAAAGUCUGACGGAGCAACGCCGCGUGAGUGAUGAAGGUUUUCGGAUCGUAAAACUCUGUUGUUAGGGAAGAACAAGUACCGUUCGAAUAGGGCGGCACCUUGACGGUACCUAACCAGAAAGCCACGGCUAACUACGUGCCAGCAGCCGCGGUAAUACGUAGGUGGCAAGCGUUGUCCGGAAUUAUUGGGCGUAAAGCGCGCGCAGGCGGUUUCUUAAGUCUGAUGUGAAAGCCCCCGGCUCAACCCGGGGAGGGUCAUUGGAAACUGGGGAACUUGAGUGCAGAAGAGGAGAGUGGAAUUCCACGUGUAGCGGUGAAAUGCGUAGAGAUGUGGAGGAACACCAGUGGCGAAGGCGACUCUCUG
This 702-nucleotide ribosomal RNA is filed under the name uncultured Bacilli bacterium. Its description in RNAcentral is "bacterial SSU rRNA". It matches the Rfam family "Bacterial small subunit ribosomal RNA", at positions 50 to 731 of the family's 1533-position model. Lineage: Bacteria; Bacillati; Bacillota; Bacilli. The record is from RNAcentral.